GAAAUGCGACAAGUAAUGUGAAUUGCAGAAUUCAGUGAAUCAUCGAAUCUUUGAACGCACAUUGCGCCCCUUGGUAUUCCAUGGGGCAUGCCUGUUCGAGCGUCAUUUGUACCCUCAAGCUCUGCUUGGUGUUGGGUGUUUGUCCCCGUCUCCGCGCGUGGACUCGCCCCAAAGUGAUUGGCAGCCGGCGUACUGGUCCCGGAGCGCAGCACAUGUCGCGCAAACGAGUGCCUUGGUACGGCGGCGUCCAUAAGCCCCUCUCUCACGCUCUUGACCUCGGAUCAGGUAGGGAUACCCGCUGAACUUAAGC
Molecule: unclassified non-coding RNA, 310 nt
Filed under: plant metagenome
Description: partial contains 5.8S ribosomal RNA, internal transcribed spacer 2, and large subunit ribosomal RNA
Rfam family: 5.8S ribosomal RNA (bases 1-105)
Source: RNAcentral